This 87-nucleotide transfer RNA is filed under the name Candidatus Rokuibacteriota bacterium. RNAcentral's name for it is "Candidatus Rokubacteria bacterium tRNA-Leu". It matches the Rfam family "tRNA". From Rfam's summary of the family: Transfer RNA (tRNA) molecules are approximately 80 nucleotides in length. Their secondary structure includes four short double-helical elements and three loops (D, anti-codon, and T loops). The record is from RNAcentral. RNAcentral also lists the same sequence under 1 other name. Lineage: Bacteria; Candidatus Rokuibacteriota.
GCCGGCGUGGCGAAGCUGGCAGACGCGGCGGCCUCAAAAGCCGCUGCCCGCAAGGGCAUAGGGGUUCGACUCCCCUCGCCGGCACCA